RNAcentral lists this ribosomal RNA (429 nucleotides) under Fusobacteriota bacterium. RNAcentral describes it as "Fusobacteria bacterium partial 16S ribosomal RNA". It matches the Rfam family "Bacterial small subunit ribosomal RNA", at positions 355 to 776 of the family's 1533-position model. The record is from RNAcentral. Lineage: Bacteria; Fusobacteriati; Fusobacteriota.
UGGGGAAUAUUGCGCAAUGGGCGAAAGCCUGACGCAGCGACGCCGCGUGAGGGAUGAAGGUUUUCGGAUCGUAAACCUCUGUCAGAAGGGAAGAAACCGCACUGUGCUAAUCAGCAGUGCCUUGACGGUACCUUCAAAGGAAGCACCGGCUAACUCCGUGCCAGCAGCCGCGGUAAUACGGAGGGUGCAAGCGUUAAUCGGAAUUACUGGGCGUAAAGCGCACGUAGGCUGCUUUGUAAGUCAGGGGUGAAAUCCCACGGCUCAACCGUGGAACUGCCUUUGAUACUGCUUAGCUUGAAUCCGGGAGAGGGUGGCGGAAUUCCAGGUGUAGGAGUGAAAUCCGUAGAUAUCUGGAGGAACAUCAGUGGCGAAGGCGACCACCUGGACCGGUAUUGACGCUGAGGUGCGAAAGCGUAGGGAGCAAACAGG